UACAGAGGGGGCAAGCGUUGUUCGGAAUUACUGGGCGUAAAGGGCGCGUAGGCGGCCUGUUAAGUCGAACGUGAAAUCCCCGGGCUCAACCCGGGAACUGCGUCCGAUACUGGAUGGCUUGAAUCCGGGAGAGGGAUGCAGAAUUCCAGGUGUAGCGGUGAAAUGCGUAGAUAUCUGGAGGAAUACCGGUGGCGAAGGCGGCAUCCUGGACCGGCAUUGACGCUGAGGAGCGAAAGCCAGGGGAGCAAACGGG
Molecule: ribosomal RNA, 253 nt
Filed under: uncultured bacterium
Lineage: Bacteria
Description: partial 16S ribosomal RNA
Rfam family: Bacterial small subunit ribosomal RNA
Source: RNAcentral